UGCAGUCGNCGCGAAAGUUCCCUUCGGGGAGCGAGUAGAGUGGCGCACGGGUGAGUAACACGUAGGUAAUUUGCCUUUGGGUGGGGAAUAACUCAGGGAAACUUGAGCUAAUACCGCAUAAUGCAGCGGCUCGACAUCGAGACAGUUGUUAAAGCGGGGGAUUGGAGCAAUCCGACCUCGCGCCUGGAGAGAAGCCUGCGGCAGAUUAGCUAGUUGGUAAGGUAAUGGCUUACCAAGGCAACGAUCUGUAACCGGCCUGAGAGGGCGGUCGGUCACACUGACACUGACAUACGGGUCAGACUCCUACGGGAGGCAGCAGUCGGGAAUUUUGGGCAAUGGGCGAAAGCCUGACCCAGCAACGCCGCGUGAAGGAUGAAAUUUUUCGGAAUGUAAACUUCGCAAGAACAGGAAGAAUAAGUAGAAGAUAAUACCUUCUAUGAUGGCGGUACUGUUUGUAAGCUCCGGCUAACUCCGUGCCAGCAGCCGCGGUAAUACGGGGGGAGCAAGCGUUGUUCGGAUUUACUGGGCGUAAAGGGCGCGUANGCGGCGUGACAAGUCACUUGUGAAAUCUCCGGGCUUAACUCGGAACGGUCAAGUGAUACUGUCGUGCUAGAGUACAGAANGGGCAACUGGAAUUCUCGGUGUAGCGGUGAAAUGCGUAGAUAUCGAGAGGAACACCUGCGGCGAAAGCGGGUUGCUGGGCUGAUACUGACGCUGANCGCGAAAGCCNGGGAGCGAACGGGAUUAGAUACCCCGGUAGUCCUGGGCCUUAAACGAUGAAUGCUUGGUGUCUCGGGNUAUAAAGUCCCGGGGNUGCCGUCGCUAACGCUUUUAGCAUUCCGCCUGGGGAGUACGGUCGCAGACUGAACUCAA
This 873-nucleotide ribosomal RNA is filed under the name uncultured bacterium. RNAcentral describes it as "bacterial SSU rRNA". It matches the Rfam family "Bacterial small subunit ribosomal RNA", at positions 56 to 904 of the family's 1533-position model. The record is from RNAcentral.